UAUUAAGUUCAAAAUUUGGAGUAGAAAAAAACCAAUAGAAGAAUUCCAUUUUCCUUCCUCACUCAUCGGAGAGCUCUCUUUGGGGCUUUCCGAAAAGGUAUCACAUGCAAAGUUUGGCCUCACAGGCUAAAAGUUAUAGAGUCGUACAUUUUUAACAAAAAAAAAAAGAGAAAAGCCGAAAAAAAGAAGGAUGCAACACAAGGACUUUCCGGGAGGUCAGCCAUCCUAAUAUUACUCUCGCCCAAGCACGCUUAACUGUAGAGUUCUGAUGGGAUCCGGUGCAUUAGUGCUGGUAUGAUCGCAUCUGUUACUACAUGCAAUGCAAUCGUAUCUAUUCUUUUUUUAAGACUUUAUGAUCCAUUUACCGUGGGUCCCACCAGCUACGUAGGAAUAACCUAUCUUAUUUAUAAGAGCUUUGAUACAUGCAAAAUAUUCGAAAACAAUGUCCGAACAUAUAAUUUUCGUCCCGUAAUAUAGCAAAGAUCACAAAAAGGCCAGAAAGAGUACAUUAAGGUCAAAAUUUUGGAGUAGAAAAAAAAACCCUUCCUCAUUCAUUAAAGAGCUCUCUUUGGCAUUUCCGAAAAGGUGUCACAUGCCAAGUUCGGCCUCACGGUCUAAAAGUUAUAGAGUCAUACAUUGUUAACAAAAAAAAAGAGAAAAACCGAUUAAAAGAGUUAUGCAACACAAGGACUUUCCUGGAGGUCACCCGUCCUAGUACUACUCUCGCCCAAGCACGCUUAAAUGCGGAGUUCUGAUGGGAUCCGGUCCAUGAGU
RNAcentral lists this small RNA (774 nucleotides) under Arabidopsis thaliana (thale cress). RNAcentral describes it as "ATSL163970". Lineage: Eukaryota; Viridiplantae; Streptophyta; Magnoliopsida; Brassicales; Brassicaceae. The record is from RNAcentral.